AGUCUGCAACUCGACUACAUGAAGCUGGAAUCGCUAGUAAUCGCAGAUCAGAAUGCUGCGGUGAAUACGUUCCCGGGUCUUGUACACACCGCCCGUCACACCAUGGGAGUUGGAAAUGCCCGAAGUCAGUGACCCAACCGAAAGGGGGAGCUGCCGAAGGCAGGUCUGAUAACUGGGGUGAAGUCGUAACAAGGUAUC
Molecule: ribosomal RNA, 198 nt
Filed under: uncultured bacterium
Lineage: Bacteria
Description: partial 16S ribosomal RNA
Rfam family: Bacterial small subunit ribosomal RNA
Source: RNAcentral